GACAGAGGGUGCAAACGUUGCUCGGAAUCACUGGGCGUAAAGGGCGUGUAGGCGGGAAGGAAAGUCAGAUGUGAAAUCCCCAGGCUCAACCUGGGAACUGCAUUUGAAACUCCCUUUCUUGAGUACCGGAGAGGAAAGUGGAAUUCCUGGUGUAGAGGUGAAAUUCGUAGAUAUCGAGAGGAACACCGGUGGCGAAGGCGGCCAACUGGACGAAGACUGACGCUGAGACACGAAAGCGUGGGGAGCAAACAGG
RNAcentral lists this ribosomal RNA (253 nucleotides) under uncultured bacterium. Its description in RNAcentral is "partial 16S ribosomal RNA". It matches the Rfam family "Bacterial small subunit ribosomal RNA", at positions 524 to 776 of the family's 1533-position model. The record is from RNAcentral.